Molecule: ribosomal RNA, 250 nt
Filed under: uncultured prokaryote
Description: partial 16S rRNA
Rfam family: Bacterial small subunit ribosomal RNA
Source: RNAcentral
ACGUAGGUGGCAAGCGUUGUCCGGAAUUAUUGGGCGUAAAGCGCGCGCAGGUGGUUAUAUAAGUCUGAUUUUAAAGUUCGGGGCUCAACCCCGUGAUGGAUUGGAAACUGUAUAACUUGAGUACAGUAGAGGUAAACGGAAUUCCCAGUGUAGCGGUUAAAUGCGUAGAUAUUGGCAGUGACGCCAGUGGCGAAGGCGACCUACUGGGCUGUAACUGACACUGAGGCGCGAAAGCCACUCGAGCAAACGG